CAAGUCGAGGGGCAGCACGAGUAGCAAUACUUGGUGGCGACCGGCAGACGGGUGCGUAACGCGUAUACAACCUACCCUUGUAAAGGGGAAUAACCCGGAGAAAUUCGGACUAAUACCCCGUAAGUAUUUGAUCGGCAUCGAUUGGAUAUGAGAGAUUUAUCGUUCAAGGAUGGGUAUGCGUGACAUUAGGAAGUUGGUGAGGUAACGGCUCACCAAUCCGACGAUGUCUAGGGGUUCUGAGAGGAAGGUCCCCCACACUGGUACUGAGACACGGACCAGACUCCUACGGGAGGCAGCMGUGAGGAAUAUUGGUCMAUGGACGAGAGUCUGAACCAGCCAUGCCCUUACCCGGGCUUGAAAGUUAGUGACCGGUGGUGAAAGCCACUUUUCCAGCAAUGGACACGAAACUAGGUGCUGCAUGGUUGUCGUCAGCUCGUGCCGUGAGGUGUCGGGUUAAGUCCCAUAACGAGCGCAACCCCUGUCGUUAGUUGCUAGCAGGUAAUGCUGAGGACUCUAACGAGACUGCCGGUGUAAACCGAGAGGAAGGUGGGGAUGACGUCAAAUCAGCACGGCSAUUACGUCCGGGGCGACACACGUGUUACAAUGGAUGGUACAAAGGGUUGCAACAUAGCGAUAUGAAGCUAAUCUCAAAAAGCCAUUCUCAGUUCGGAUCGCAGGCUGAAACUCGCCUGCGUGAAGUUGGAUUCGCUAGUAAUCGCACAUCAGCCAUGGUGUGGUGAAUACGUUCCCGGGCCUUGUACACACCGCCCGUCAAGCCAUGGAAGUUGGGGGUGCCUGAAGUACGUGUGCGUAAAAGCAGCGUCCUAGGGCAA
Molecule: ribosomal RNA, 833 nt
Filed under: uncultured Eubacterium sp.
Lineage: Bacteria; Bacillati; Bacillota; Clostridia; Eubacteriales; Eubacteriaceae
Description: bacterial SSU rRNA
Rfam family: Bacterial small subunit ribosomal RNA
Source: RNAcentral